GGAUUAGAUACCCUGGUAGUCCACGCCCUAAACGAUGUAUGCUUGGUGUUGGAGCGCAAGCUUCAGUGCCGGAGGAAACCCAUUAAGCAUACCACCUGGGGAGUACGAUCGCAAGGUUGAAACUCAAAGGAAUUGACGGGGGCCCGCACAAGCGGUGGAUCGUGUGGUUUAAUUCGAUGCAACGCGAAGAACCUUACCUUGGCUUGAACUGUAGGAAGUAGGCGUCCGAAAGGACAACCACCCGUUAAGUCGGGAGCCUGCAGAGGUGCUGCAUGGCUGUCGUCAGCUCGUGCCG
RNAcentral lists this ribosomal RNA (295 nucleotides) under uncultured bacterium. Its description in RNAcentral is "partial 16S ribosomal RNA". It matches the Rfam family "Bacterial small subunit ribosomal RNA", at positions 775 to 1067 of the family's 1533-position model. The record is from RNAcentral.